RNAcentral lists this ribosomal RNA (102 nucleotides) under Metschnikowia bicuspidata var. bicuspidata NRRL YB-4993. Lineage: Eukaryota; Fungi; Ascomycota; Pichiomycetes; Serinales; Metschnikowiaceae. The record is from RNAcentral.
GGUUGCGGCCAUACCAUGCAGGAAGCACGUUAGUUAAGCUGCAUAGGGCCACACUGAGUAGUGUAGUGGGAGACCAUAUGCGAAAUUGUGGUGCUGCAAUCU